GACGAACGCUGGCGGCGUGCUUAACACAUGCAAGUCGAGCGGGAACCUCGGGAGGGGUAACCUUUCCGAGGGGAGAGCGGCGAACGGGUGAGUAACACGUGGGCAACCUGCCCCGGACACCGGGAUAACCCAGGGAAACCUGAGCUAAUACCGGAUACUCCGGCACGAUCGCAUGGUCGUGCCGGGAAAGGCUCCGACGGUCCGGGAUGGGCCCGCGGCCUAUCAGCUUGUUGGUGAGGUAACGGCCCACCAAGGCGACGACGGGUAGCUGGUCUGAGAGGACGGCCAGCCACACUGGGGACUGAGACACGGCCCAGACUCCUACCGGGAGGGCAGCGAGUGGGGAAUCUUGCGGCUAAUGCGCGAAAGCGUGACGCAGCGACGCCGCGUGAGGGAU
RNAcentral lists this ribosomal RNA (397 nucleotides) under uncultured bacterium. Its description in RNAcentral is "bacterial SSU rRNA". It matches the Rfam family "Bacterial small subunit ribosomal RNA", at positions 28 to 409 of the family's 1533-position model. The record is from RNAcentral.